This 433-nucleotide ribosomal RNA is filed under the name uncultured bacterium. Its description in RNAcentral is "partial 16S ribosomal RNA". It matches the Rfam family "Bacterial small subunit ribosomal RNA", at positions 29 to 507 of the family's 1533-position model. The record is from RNAcentral.
AACGAACGCUGGCGGCAUGCCUAACACAUGCAAGUCGAACGAGACCUUCGGGUCUAGUUGCGCACGGGUGCGUAACGCGUGGGAACCUGCCCUUAGGUUCGGAAUAACUCCCCGAAAGGGGUGCUAAUACCGGAUAAUGUCUUCGGACCAAAGAUUUAUCGCCUUUGGAUGGGCCCGCGUUGGAUUAGCUAGUUGGUAGGGUAAAAGCCUACCAAGGCGACGAUCCAUAGCUGGUCUGAGAGGAUGAUCAGCCACACUGGGAAUGAGACACGGCCCAGAAUCCUACGGGAGGAAGCAGUGGGGAAUAUUGGACAAUGGGGGAAAGACUGAUCAAGCAAUGCCGCGUGAGUGAUGAAGGCGUUAGGGUUGUAAAGCUCUUUUACACGGGAUGAUAAUGACAGUACCGGGAGAAUAAGCUCCGGCUAACUCCGUG